AUUGAACGCUGGCGGCAUGCUUUACACAUGCAAGUCGAACGGCAGCACGGGUGCUUGCACCUGGUGGCGAGUGGCGGACGGGUGAGUAAUACAUCGGAACGCGUCCAGAAGAGGGGGAUAACGCAUCGAAAGAUGUGCUAAUACCGCAUAUGCUCUGAGGAGGAAAGUAGGGGAUCGAAAGACCUUACGCUUUUGGAGCGGCCGAUGUCUGAUUAGCUAGUUGGUGGGGUAAGGGCCUACCAAGGCGACGAUCAGUAGUUGGUCUGAGAGGACGACCAGCCACACUGGGACUGAGACACGGCCCAGACUCCUACGGGAGGCAGCAGUGGGGAAUUUUGGACAAUGGGCGCAAGCCUGAUCCAGCAAUGCCGCGUGAGUGAAGAAGGCCUCGGUUGUAAGUACGUCUUUCUAGUCGAGAAGAAAAGGACGUAGC
This 433-nucleotide ribosomal RNA is filed under the name uncultured bacterium. Its description in RNAcentral is "bacterial SSU rRNA". It matches the Rfam family "Bacterial small subunit ribosomal RNA", at positions 30 to 460 of the family's 1533-position model. The record is from RNAcentral.